CUUGAACAUAAACUUAUUUUAAUCCAUGCUCAUAUGUGGUAUUUGUAUUGAGAUACAUUGAGAUAACAGUUAUAAAUGUCCACUAUGAAAUUCCUCUUGCUUAUUACAGUCAUACUUGUAGUAGGCUUUGGGCCAAAUGAAGUUGACAGUAGACAUAGCUUUACGUCUGCUGAUGGAGGUACAGGAGGAUCUGCACUAACAGAUUAUAAGUGUUCCUGCUGUUCAGAUAGAGUACAUCGUUUGAGAUGCUGUGUUCCGACAUGUAGAAUUGAGCCUCAUUAUAAGAAGGAAACUCGUUGAAGGAAAACAUCUUCGUAUUAUAUAUCACAACUUUUUAAUAACUGAAUACAAUUGAAGAACGAUUAACAUUUUUUUCUUCUUCUUUAUAUAUUGUAAAGUGACUCUUGGGUGAUAAUAGUAUAAUCCAUAAUCUUGAUGUAAUUCUACUUCAAAAUCUGUGAAAAAUCUGCUGUAAUUUCAAAACGCGGAACAAAUCCGAAAAUAAAAUUACGUCUGUCAAAAUGA
This is a long non-coding RNA of Mytilus californianus (California mussel), 525 nucleotides long. RefSeq lists it as uncharacterized. NCBI's taxonomy places the organism in Eukaryota, Metazoa, Mollusca, Bivalvia, Mytilida, Mytilidae. The record is from RefSeq and is a predicted model, not a curated record. The transcript is spliced from 2 exons.